RNAcentral lists this long non-coding RNA (7399 nucleotides) under Brassica rapa (field mustard). RNAcentral's name for it is "long non-coding RNA (BRAP_LNC006310)". The record is from RNAcentral. Lineage: Eukaryota; Viridiplantae; Streptophyta; Magnoliopsida; Brassicales; Brassicaceae.
AAAACUUGAGACUUUUUAUAAACUAGAAUAGCAUAAAUAUCCAAACUAGAAAUCAGAAACUAAAUUGACGAAAAAGAUUAUUAUUUAAUGCUCUAAGUGUGUAAUUCAGUAAGGAACAGUUGUCGAACAGGUUAAACCAAUAAGUACAAGACACGUGACGAAGCACUGACACUGUACGAUGAUGUCGAUGGCCAUUUUGAUACUGAUUCUUUUUGGCGUGCUCCUCCUCUCGAUACUGUUCUUCCUCUCUUACUGUCCUAAGAUUAAUAAUAAAAAGAGGCAAAAAAUUACUAUUUUUUAAAACAAUAACCACUGAGAUAGUGACAAAUCGCAGCCUCUCUAGUUCCUAUGCUUCUCUUGUUUAUGAUAAGUUCAUCAGAAACUCGUCACAUUGCUCCCACAGUCACACCAUGGUCAGGAUCAGGAACACUACAAGAAAACAUUACACAUUUUGACCAUAUUUGUAACCAACCAAAAUGGUCAAAAAUAACUGUGACCAUAUUCCGACCAGUUCAUGAUGAAUAAGAAAAACGGUUAAAAAUGAUCAGAAUUUAUUAACCAAAAUAUAUAGUCAAAAAGUGGUCAGAAAAUCCCCUAUAUAUUAUUUGAGAAGCAUUGCAACAUUUUUUUGUAGCCAUGUGUCAUUACUAGAAUGAUUCUUAGAAUCCUUAGAUAAAUAGGUUGGUCCAUCUAAAUAUAUAAUAAACUUUUUAUUAAACCACAAUAAAUACAUUAUUAAUGUGUUUCAUUAUUUCCUUAAAUAAGAUUACGGAAUUGCCUAAUGUGGCUAAAGUAUAUAUGACAAUUAAUGAUUUUGAAUAAUAAAGAUUUGAUAAAAAUAAGUGUGUAUUAUAAUUAUAUUUGUUUAAUUUUAAGCUAUUAAAUAAAUUAAACAAUCAUAGUAACCAUAUAAUAAUAAAAAAAAUAUUUAUAUAUUAUAUUUUGAAUUUUUAAAAACGAGUAUAAAUUACUGAAAGUGUUAAAAAUUUCACAUUCAAAUUUUGUGAUCUAUGAUUUAAAACUUUUGUUAUGACAUGAUACAAAUAAUUAAAAAAUAAUAUAAGUUGAAAGUCUCAUUUAAUAAAUAUCAAAAAUAAAAGAUAUAUAAAUAUAUGUAUCAUUUUAAAUUAAACUAUAUGCCAUAUAAAAAUGCAUAAAUAUCUUAAUUUUGAAAUUUACUUUGAACAUUUUUUUGAUAAAAAAUUUUAAAAAAUAUUGACAACUUAAUUUUUCAAAAUAUUAUAAAUUACUUAAACCAUUAAUCUCACAAUGAAAAUUUUGUUAUCACUAAUUUAGACUUUUUGCUAUAACAGAGACAAAUGAUAAAAAAAAAUAUGAGCAAAAAGUAUCAUCUAAUAAAUAUUAAUAUUAAAAUAUACCAUAUAUAUGUUACUAUCAUUUAAAUUUAAUUAUAUAUCAUAUCAAUUAGAAAAAAUUUUAUUUAUAUGUUCGUACCAAUUUAAUUAUAUAAGUAGUAGAUAAUGACUUUUUAAUUAUUCAAUAUAUAUUUAUUAUUUCAUAAUAUGUUAUAAACAUAUAAUAUAUAAAAUAAUUUAUAUAUAUAAUGUUCAUCCCGCGCAAGGCGCGGGUCUUAACCUAGUAUAUCAUAUUUUGAUCACAUUUCUGACCACCCAAAAUGGUCAAAAAUAGUUAUGACCAAAUUCUAACUAUUUUAUGAGGAAUAACAAAUAUGGUCAGAAAAUGGUUAGUAUUUUUUAACCGAAAAUAUAGUAAAAAGGUGGAUAGAAAAUUUUGACCAUAUUCUAACCAUUUUCUAAGGAUAUAUGUAGUUUAACCUAGAUCGUAGAUCUGUGUUUGUCAUUCUUAUUUCUUCAGCUUUUUUUUUCAAGCGGCGUUAAGCUUCUUGUCAAUUUAUUUUUUCUACUGAUUUUAUCUUAAUCGAAAGACCUUCCCAUCCCUUUUGUAUUUCUCUGCUUUUUUAUUUUCUACUCUGCUACUUCAUCAUCAUGACCUCUUUCCUUCAUUGCAUGUCAGGUGGAUAAGCUUCAGUGUUGCUGCUUUCACCGUCAUUGUUCCUCUACCCCUUCCAAGGUGAGAUCCAUAUUUUGUGUUUAAAGGACCGUUAUUUAGUGUCAUACUUUGUAAACGAGUAUAGAACCGAACUUGAUUAAUAUACCUAAAUCUGGUUACAGCUGUUUGGUUUUUGUUUUCUAGUCUCAUAUUGAUUAAUUUAGUUUUUUCAAUUGUCGUAGUUCGAGCAUGAAUAUUUUUAAUCUAGUUCUAAUUUAUCUUAUCAUUUUUGUCAAAACACAACUAGGACGGAUCAGUUGAUUGAGACCAUGGAGAAAAACAAGACUAAGAAGAACGAAGAAAAAUUAAGAAGAGCAAAUGAAUACAGAUCAUGUUUUUAAUAUAUGUAUUCUUUUUUUUUGGAACACUUGUUCUUAUGUUGCUAAUCUUAUUUUCUUAUGUUAAAUAACAUUUAUUUCAUAUUUAUUCAAUUUUCAGUAUUUUUACUAUAUUCAUGUUAUUAUUAUAAUUAUUUAAUUUAAAUUAAUCUUCUGUAAAAUGAUUAAUUAAUGGUCAAACAAAUUAACAAAAAAUAGUUAGAAAUCCGUCAAUAAAUAGAUAAUUAUUUUUGACUAUUUUUUGACAUUUGUUUUUGAUGACAUUUUUGACCAUUUAAUUUGGUCAAAAUUUUCUGACCAUUGUCAAUUUCUGACGGAGUUUUUUUGACGAUUUUAUAUGGUCAAAAUAUGGUUAAAAUAGAGUGUUUCUAACGAUUUUCUAAUGAAAUUGGUGGUCAGAAAUUGAACUAUUUUUUGUAGUGGAAUAUCAAUUUCGUUUCAAUAUUUAAUGAGAAUAUCUCAAGAUAUUAUAAAAUUUACCAUGUAUAAGUUAACGUCUUUAGAUUAAGUUUGUACAAAGAUUUCAAUUUCUUUCUUCUCUACAUUGAUGUGCUGUUUCUUUUGUAUACAUAUUUAUAUUUUUAUGACUUCAUGUAUUUUACAUUGAAUUCGAGAGUAUACAUGUUUUUUUGUAGGGCAAUUGUCAAUAAUAGCACCUUUUGAAGUUUAUGUCUCAAAAAUAGCACUAGAAGGAGAAAGUCACAAAAAUGACAUUCAUUAAAGGGUAAAAUAUCGGGAAUUCGGCCAAAAAAAACCUCAACUUUACAUGAAUUGCCAAAACAAACAUGAACUUUGGGACAGGCCAAAAAAACACCAAAUUUUCAUUGACUUUAGAAUUAAUUAACAAUGUUUUCGCUGACUUGCCAAUUUAGCACGCCGUCAACAAAUUUAGCAGAAAUAUUUGACGUCGUUUAUUGUUGACGUUAAGUGAAACGACGUCGUUUUCAAAUAAGAUGAAACGACGUCGUUUUACACGAUUUGAAAUUAAAAUAUGUAAACACCUGGAUUCGAACACAGGUUGGUUGGUCAAAUGGGAAGGUAUUUUACCACUGGGCUACUGGCACUUUCAAUGUACUUACUAACAUGUUUACUUUUAUUUGGUACAUAUUAAAUAUAAAAAAUUCUCUAAAAACUUAAUAAAAUCUUUAAAAUUCCAAAAAAUUAAAAAUAAAAAAGAUUUUUAUAAAAUUAAUUUAGAAAUUAAAAUUAAAAAUAAAAUUUUAUUUUUCUUUUUAAAAAAUAAAAACUCUUCCAAAAUUUUCUAAAAACUUAAAAAGAUCUUUAAAAUUCCAAAAAAUUGAAAAAAUAAAGAAAUUUUUAUAAAAUUAAUUUUGAAAUUAAAAUAGAAAAUAAAAUUUUAUUUUUUUUUUCAAAAAAAUAAAAAAUCUUCCAAAAUUUUCAAUUUUUUCAAUACAUUUGCUAAAAGUUGAAAUUAAUUAUACACACAUAAAAAAUUGAUAAUUCUAACUUUAAUUUUUUGCAUUUUAUUAUAAUUUUAAAAAAUUUGGAUUUUUUUUUUAAAAAAUGAAAAUUUUGGAAUUUUUUUUGAUUUUUUAAAGAAAAACAAAUAUUUAAUUUUAAUUCAAAAUUAAUUUUAUGAAAUUUUUGGAAGAUUUUUUUAUUUUUUUAAAGAAAAAUAAUUUUUUAUUUUUUUUAAAGAAAAAUAAAAUUUUAUUUUCAAUUUUAAUUUCAAAAUUUAUGUUAUAAAAAAUUUCUUUAUUUUUUCAAUUUUUUGGAAUUUAAAGUUCGUUUUAAUUUUUUAGAAAAUUUUGGAAGAAUUUUUAUUUUUUAAAAAGAAAAAAAUUAUUUUCAAUUUUAAUUUCAAAAUUAAUUUUAUAAAAAUCUUCUUUAUUUUUUUAAUUUUUUUGGAAUUUUAAAGAUCUUAUUAAGUUUUUAGAGAAUUUUAUAUAUUUAAUAUGUACCAAAUAAAAGUAAACAUGUUAGUAAGUACAUUAGAAGUGCUAGUAGCCCAGUGGUAAAAUACCUUCCUAUUUGACCAACCAACCUGGGUUCGAAUCCAGGGUUUUACAUAUUUUUAAUUUCAAAUCGUGUAAAACGACGUCGUUUUAUCUCAUUUGAAAACGACGUCGUUUCACUUAACGUCAAUAAUAAACGACGUCAAAUAUUUCUGUUAAAUUUGUUGACGGCGUGCUAAAUUGGCAAGUCAGCGAAAACAUUGUUAAUUAAUUCUAAAGUCAAUGAAAGUUUAGUGUUUUUUUGGCGAGCCCCAAAGUUCAUGUUUGUUUUGGCAAUUCGUGUAAAGUUGAAGUUUUUUUUGGCCGAAUUCUCGUAAAAUAUCCCUAAUACCAUUGGUUUAAAAUUAAAUAAACAAACAAAAAUAAAUAAAAAUAAAUAAAAAUAAAUAAAAAUAAAUAAAAUAAAUAAAAUAAAAAUAAAAAUAAAAAAAAAGAAUUUUUUUUAUAGUUUCAGAUUAUAUGUUUUCAGAUUCGAAAUUUUUAUAAUUUUUUUUAAAAAAAAAUUAAUUUUUUUUAUUUUUUUUCAAAUUUUCUUUUUAUAGUUUAAAAAUAAUUUUUGAAACUGUUUUAAAAAAUUUUAUUUUUUUAUUUUAGUAUUUAUUUUUUAUAAAAUUUUAAACUCUAAUUCCAAAACCCCACCCCCUUAACUCUAAACCCUAAGGUUUGGAUUAAUUAACCCAAGGGGUAUAAGUGUAUAUUUACCUCUUUAAUGAAACCUAUUUUUGUGACUUUGAGACUUGAGUGCUACUUUGGGAACAAAAACUUGGUUUGAUGCUAUCCUAGUAUUUUUCUCUUUUUUUGUAUAAGGAGAGUAACAUGUUUGUGUUCGGUAAAUUCUAAAAAAAUCUACACCCAUUAAAACCAAAAAAAGAAGAAGUAAAUAGUAAUUCACCCACUUUAAUUUGUAUCUUUAGAGUAAAGCUAAAAGAAUUUGUACCAAGUAUCCAUAAAUAAUUAUAGGGGUCCUGCAACACUAAAAGAUAGAGGAAUAAAAGACUUAUGUUCAAAGAAUCAAAGAUGCUGCAAGCAAAGUCGUGUCUACUUUGAAGAGAAUGGCACCGGUUUUGGACUUUCCUAUGGGGUGGUUUUUUGUCUAGGCAAGAAUGCUCAUGCAAGAAACCUUAGAAGCCAGCACAUCAGAAAAGGAAUCAUAUACAUAGCUUCAUAUAUUUUCACCUAAUUUUAAAGUUCAGUAAACUCUCUUAAGUAAAUCUAACUCGUCCUUAAUUAAUUUCCAAGUGUUGUGUUCUCUAGUAACCAUGACAUAGUAAAUGUUCAAACACGAACCAUUAUUUUUUUUCUUUUUUAUCUUUCUCACAAUUCCUCACCCUCUCCCAAAAUUUUCUGUAUUAGUGGAAACUUUUCAGAUAUUCGUCUUCUUUCUAUCAUCGUAUUUUUUGCCAAAACAGGGUAAAUAAUAGUACUUUUUUUCCUAUCGAAGGCACCCAUAUGGAUCUUUCCUAAUGCUUAAUAUAAUCUAUAUUUUAAUCGUUAUAUAUUUCGUACGGCCAUUAUUCUAAUGUAACUUACUGUCCCUCCUCCUAACAAGGUGGCUCCGCCACUGGCCAGGAUCGUCUUUUGCUGAAGUAUAUUUUUGUUUUUGACUAAAUCCUUCUGAAGUAUAUUUGUCAAUAGUUGAAAUACUAUAACAGCUGGUACACAACUAUAAUCGUUAUUAUUUAUUAUUAUCCCUUACUUCAACCAUAACUUUUUUUUCUCAAAAUAUUGUUAAUCAUCAUAGUUUUUCUGAGUAGCUUGAGGAAGAAAUAUCUGAUAGAAAGUUUUUAAAUAUUUCGCAGUUUCCUUAGAAGGCAUGAAAAUAUUAGAAAACAUUACAUAUCUAUCUAUCUAUACUAUUAUUUCUAUUAUUUGCGAAUUAAUUUUUUGCAUUCGAGGUUUCACGUUAAAAGUUAGACAAACUAAAUACAUAGUUAUUUUUAAUGAAUAAUUAAAUUUAUUUUAAUAUAAUUUUAAUACAAUUAACCGUAACAUGAAUUAAUUAUAACAAAAAUAUUCAAAAAUAUUUAAUAAAAAUUGACAAAAACAAUUAAUGUAUAUUGUAUUAUUAUCCAUAAUAAUAAUAUUUUCAGUAGAUAAAUUUUUGAACACAUAUUAAUUAAGAAUUCUGAAAUAAAAAAAAUUAUUAAAUAGUCACGAUAAUUAUAAGUUUAUAUAUUAGCUAUGCUUUGAUAAACAUAGUUUAAGAUCUUGAUAAUUAAUGAAAGCAAUUUAAAAGAAAAAACACAACCAAAAUUGUACAUAAAGAGAUUUCUAAGAUAUUUACAUAACAAAUAAUAUAGAUAUAUAUGCUUUAGUGAAAGACUGCAUCAUAUAUAAAUAGUUUUAUGUUAAAUUUGUUAUUGAUUUUGUAAGUGUAUGACAAUAAAUUAUUUUGUUGGUCUUUAAAUUAAUAAUGUAUUUAUUAAUAAAUAUUAGUAAGAUAUGGCAAAAAUAUAAACCACUCAAAAGAAACUCUGGCUGGUUUUUUCUAAGAAAUAGAAAACAAGAAUUAUCUUUGCACAAAAAAAAAAGAAUUAUCAUGUUUCUUUUGGUGGCAUCCAAUUAUUCUGAUAUGUGGUGAGGAGAAGAUAUGGACAGAACAUAUAUAUAGAUUCUACACUUAAUUUUAUUAUUACCAAGAACACAAAUAAAAAUAAGAAUAACAUCAUUUUAUUGUGGCCCAUACCAAAAGAAAUCAAAUAAAAAAUCAAGAAACUUGCCCUUUCCUUCUCUCACAGACCAUUCUAGGGUUCCUAAAAAUCCCCACUUACCUUUUUGUCGAAUUUCAGCUCUUUUUUCUCUUCAUCAGCUUGAUUUUCCUUUGAAUCUAUCAACAAAUCUCUCACAAUGAUCAUUUCCUAAGAAAAUUUUGAUUAAACAUUAAAUUUUCUUCGCUGCUACCUUACCUCUUCUUUAGUUUCUCUGCCGACACUUAAACUUUCUCUUGGGUGAGAUCUCUCUCUCUUUCUCUCUUUUAUGACUAUGUUAAUCCGUCACUGGCUGGUUUAGGGUUCCAAUCUUUACAGAUCUUGUGGCCGAACCAAAAAAAGUUCA